This is a long non-coding RNA of Labeo rohita (rohu), 224 nucleotides long. RefSeq lists it as uncharacterized. The record is from RefSeq and is a predicted model, not a curated record. NCBI's taxonomy places the organism in Eukaryota, Metazoa, Chordata, Actinopteri, Cypriniformes, Cyprinidae. The transcript has 3 exons.
GGGCGCUUUCACCCCGUCUGUUCCACCCCGUCUGCACACACACGGUUGAGGAGAGACCGGCAGAGAUGCAGAGCCAGCAUCUGUUUUGACUCUGACUGUGGGAGAUUCACCUCAGGUUUCUUCCACCAGAGCACUAAAUAAAUGUGAAAAACCAGGAAGUUCAACCGGACAGUCGUGUGAACAAUCCGAUGGUGCUUUUGCCUGAUCAGCUACCAUUUUGAAUA